RNAcentral lists this small RNA (29 nucleotides) under Bombyx mori (domestic silkworm). RNAcentral's name for it is "ovarian small RNA-26712". Lineage: Eukaryota; Metazoa; Arthropoda; Insecta; Lepidoptera; Bombycidae. The record is from RNAcentral.
UCCACGUCUCCGCAGCGUAUAGGAAUAUG